RNAcentral lists this ribosomal RNA (253 nucleotides) under uncultured bacterium. RNAcentral's name for it is "partial 16S ribosomal RNA". It matches the Rfam family "Bacterial small subunit ribosomal RNA", at positions 524 to 776 of the family's 1533-position model. The record is from RNAcentral.
UACGUAGGUGGCAAGCGUUGUUCGGAAUUAUUGGGCGUAAAGGGCGCGUAGGCGGAUGAGCAAGUCUGCUGUGAAAGCUCCUGGCUUAACCGGGAGUGGUCGGUGGAAACUGCUCGUCUGGAGGACGGUAGAGGUAGGUAGAAUUCCCGGUGUAGUGGUGAAAUGCGUAGAGAUCGGGAGGAAUACCUGUGGCGAAGGCGGCCUACUGGGCCGGACCUGACGCUGAGACGCGAAGGCGUGGGGAGCGAACGGG